This 74-nucleotide transfer RNA is filed under the name Echinostoma caproni. It matches the Rfam family "tRNA". From Rfam's summary of the family: Transfer RNA (tRNA) molecules are approximately 80 nucleotides in length. Their secondary structure includes four short double-helical elements and three loops (D, anti-codon, and T loops). Further hydrogen bonds mediate the characteristic L-shaped molecular structure. tRNAs have two regions of fundamental functional importance: the anti-codon, which is responsible for specific mRNA codon recognition, and the 3' end, to which the tRNAs corresponding amino acid is attached (by aminoacyl-tRNA synthetases). tRNAs cope with the degeneracy of the genetic code in two manners: having more than one tRNA (with a specific anti-codon) for a particular amino acid; and 'wobble' base-pairing, i.e. permitting non-standard base-pairing at the 3rd anti-codon position. Lineage: Eukaryota; Metazoa; Platyhelminthes; Trematoda; Plagiorchiida; Echinostomatidae. The record is from Rfam by way of RNAcentral.
AGUCCGGUAGCCCAGUUGGUUAGAGCGUCGUGCUAAAAACGCGAAUGUCGUGGGUUCCAUCCACAUCCGGGCCA